Cavia porcellus (domestic guinea pig) is the source of this 898-nucleotide long non-coding RNA. RefSeq lists it as uncharacterized. The record is from RefSeq and is a predicted model, not a curated record. Lineage: Eukaryota; Metazoa; Chordata; Mammalia; Rodentia; Caviidae. The transcript is spliced from 4 exons.
UCCGCCUCCCACCGACCAACCGCUGUGUCUCCAGGACCUCGCGUGGCCCAUCGCACACAAAGCCACAGUCACAAGUGGGAAGUGGGGGCGCCUGUGAGCGCAGAGGCUCACCUGGAAACAUCUGUACCUCAACGCAGAUCCUCUGGGUCCUCUGGAAGGACUGCAGCUUGAUUUCUUGCAUCAGAAAAACUACAUUGCUUGGUACAGUACCCAGAACUCAGGAAUUAAGGGAAGAGAGGUUAAACUUGCCUCAGGAUUGCAGAGCCCUCAGCCCAUGGUCAGGGGCUCCAGGCAGGAACAUCAUGGAGGAAGGCCUUGUCAAAGCUGCUAAGUUCGUGGAUCUGAGAAGCAGAACAGAGGAACAGAGUCAGAGAUCAGAGGCACCACCCAGGAGAUGCAGACUUGUAAGCUUGCUGCGCUUCUGAGCUGUGCACCCUCGCUGCAGAGCAGUCUGCCCGGCUCUGCUGUUGAACAUCGAGGCAACCACGUCACAGUGGAAGAUGUGCCUCUGUCCACACCUGUAUGACAAGCACUUUCAGUGAUUGCCAUGUGAACACGUUGUCUUGGAAGACCGCAAAGUGGUAGGCAGCAGUAAAUCAACCUCGGAAACGUUUCAAAAAGAAAAAGGAAUGAGGAUGGGAAUCAGGGGAAAUGGAGGACAGAGAAAGGGAAAAAAAUGCAAGAUAAUUAUAUCACUACUGUCUCUUAGCUCAUCGGAACGAAAGAUUUGUGCUAAUACCAUUUGGAGAAUUUUUAUGCCUGUAUCUUGAACUCUGAGUUGCUACUUUAAAGACAACGAUGCACAAUGUGUUAACUAUUGUUAUUCUCCUAUUACUUUGUUAAGAAAUUUUGUCUUAAUUUUGUUCAUAAAAAAAGCAAUAAAUAAUGAACUCAACAA